Molecule: ribosomal RNA, 484 nt
Filed under: uncultured bacterium
Lineage: Bacteria
Description: partial 16S ribosomal RNA
Rfam family: Bacterial small subunit ribosomal RNA
Source: RNAcentral
AUUGAACGCUGGCGGCAGGCCUAACACAUGCAAGUCGAGCGGAUGAAGGGAGCUUGCUCCUGGAUUCAGCGGCGGACGUGUGAGUAAUGCCUAGGAAUCUGCCUGGUAGUGGGGGAUAACGUCCGGAAACGGGCGCUAAUACCGCAUACGUCCUGAGGGAGAAAGUGGGGGAUCUUCGGACCUCACGCUAUCAGAUGAGCCUAGGUCGGAUUAGCUAGUUGGUGGGGUAAGGGCCUACCAAGGCGACGAUCCGUAACUGGUCUGAGAGGAUGAUCAGUCACACUGGAACUGAGACACGGUCCAGACUCCUACGGGAGGCAGCAGUGGGGAAUAUUGGACAAUGGGCGAAAGCCUGAUCCAGCCAUGCCGCGUGUGUGAAGAAGGUCUUCGGAUUGUAAAGCACUUUAAGUUGGGAGGAAGGGCAGUAAGUUAAUACCUUGCUGUUUUGACGUUACCAACAGAAUAAGCACCGGCUAACUUCGUG